Molecule: long non-coding RNA, 1028 nt
Organism: Diceros bicornis minor
Lineage: Eukaryota; Metazoa; Chordata; Mammalia; Perissodactyla; Rhinocerotidae
Exons: 4
Source: RefSeq, a predicted model, not a curated record
UGGGCUCUAGGGGGUGUUGCAGUGUGAGGCUUGUCCCGGGUGCAGGAGGAGCAGCAGUCUUGCUCCCCACAGAGCUCUGAGGAGCCUGAACCAAGAGCUUGCUCAACAGAGAGGAGACACAGCUGCCAGGAAGCACCAGGUUCCCUGAAGAAGGGCCAUCUGUAAAAACACUGUGCUGACACAGAGGUGCUGCUCCCUCUUGAGAGCCCAGUCUCUGGGCUGGGGCAGUAUCUCCAGCUGAGGUGGGCUGGAAAGGAGCCCCCAGACAGCUAGGCUUAAGCCAUGGCCUCUGCACAUAUCUCAACGCUUGCAAUUCUCUUCACACUGAGUGGCCUGAGAGCUCAGUCGGUGACUCAGCCGGAAGAUCAGGUCACUGUGGCCGAAGGGGAUCCACUCACUGUGAAGUGCACAUAUUCAUUUUCUGGGAGCCCUUAUCUCUUUUGGUACUUUGAGCCUUGCUAAGACCACCCAGCUCGCCUUCAUUGACACAUAUGAAGGACAAGAGGUGAACAUACCCUGUAACCACAGCAACAUUGCUACGGAUGAGUACAUCUUCUGGUACCGACAGUUCCCCAGCAAGGGACCACAAUUUUUUAUUCAAGGAUUUAAGAAAAACGUGACAAAUGAAGUGGCAUCUCUGUCCAUCCCCGCCGACAGGAAGUCCAGCACCCUGAGUCUGCCCCAGGCUGCCCUGAGAGACUCUGCUGUGUACUACUGCAUCGGAUGAGGAGCCUGCUGAAGGUGGAGCAGAGUGCUGAGUCACUGAAUGUUCAGGACAGAGCCAGCUCUUCUCUCAACUGCACUUAAGAAGACCACUGUUUCCAGUACUUCAUGGGGUACAGAUAGUGUCCUGGAAAAAGCCUAGGGUUUCUGAUUCCCAGACUCUCAAAUGGAGAAAAUGAGGAAAGGAGAUUCACAGCAUCUGAACAAAGACAAGAUAUACACCUCCCUGAACAUCACAGAUUUGAAGCCUGGAGAUUCAGACACCCUCAUCUGUGUAGCAAGUUCACAGUGAUCCCCAAGUCCUU